RNAcentral lists this long non-coding RNA (2101 nucleotides) under Felis catus (domestic cat). Its description in RNAcentral is "lncRNA (ENSFCAG00000049601.1)". Lineage: Eukaryota; Metazoa; Chordata; Mammalia; Carnivora; Felidae. The record is from RNAcentral.
AUGUCCGGGACGGAGGGACUGCUCCCGGGUUGUAUUGCAUAUCCCCGUGCAUUUAAUAAACAGCCACGUUGUAACGUUAUUAUUAAUCUUCCUGUUCUCCUUCCUUGCCAGGUUGUCUCUUGCCUCCUUUUCUCUCCCAGCAAAUAUAAUCUGGGGGCACCCGGGCCCCACCAGACCGGCCUCUCUGAUCACACUCAAGGAUUAACAAUCAGCUGUCCUGUGGGCAGAUGCCCUGUCUCCCAUACAGAGGAUCAAAAGGCUGGUUUGAGAAGGGAGUUCGUUUCCUGACCGGCCUCCAGGUCCUGUGAGGUCCAACCACUGACCACUGCUCCCCACUCAGCUGCAGCCACACUGGCCACUUUCUGCUUCUCAAAUAUGCAUGCCUUGUCCUCACCUCUCAUGGGUUGAACUGCAUCUCUCCCCAAAAUAUCUAGAAGCCCUUGGAACCUGUGAGUGGGAUCUUAUUUGAAAAUUAGAUCUUACAGAUGUAAUUUAAGGAUCUGGAGAUGAGGUCAUCCUGGAAUUAGGGUGGGCCGUAACCCCAAUUGACUUGGUGUCCUUACAAGAAGGUCACAUGAAGACACACGCACACAGGGAGAACUCUGAUGGGGGAGACAGGGGUUGGGGGAGGCAGCCACCAGCCGAGAAUUACCAGCAACCACCAGAAGGUGAAAAAGGUGAGGAAGGAUCCUCCCCUAAAGACUUCAGAGAGAACACCUGCUGACACCUUCAUUUUGGAUCUCUAGUCUCCAGAAGUGUGAGAAGAUACAUUUCAGUUGUUCUAACCCUCCCCCCCCCCCAUUUAUGGCAAUUUAUUACAGGAGCCCAAGGACACUAACACGUCAUCUCAGGGCCUUUGCAUGUCCUGAGCUCUUUUUUUUUUUUUUUUUUCCUUUCGUUUAUUUAUUUAUUUUUGAGGGAGACAGAGACAGCAUGAGUGGGGCAGAAAGAGAGGGAGAGAGAAAAUCCCAGGCAGGCUCCACGCUGUCAGCACAGAGCCUGAUGUGGGGUUCAAACUCACGAAACCACGAGAUCAUGACCUGAGCCCAAACCAAGAGCCAGAGGCUUAACCGACAGAGCCACCGAGGUGCCCCCCGCCGAAUUCUUCUUUCAACUCUUCACCUGAUCGAGGCCAGUUCAUCCCUUGGGCCUCAGCCUGAGAGGACACGUCCAUCUACAUUCGGUCCCGGCCGACACUGACUCUGAGUGCACCCGCCACCUUCCCCAGCGGCUUGUAACUGCCUAGACGUUUGCCUGCCUACAGGUUUAACACUUGCCCCGCCUAGAAGGUUCUCCUCAGCGGGCGGGGGCUGUGUCUGCUUUUGCUCACCGCGGUGGAUGAUGGCAGCCCCCUCCCCUGAAGGACUGUUUGCAGAGCCUCUCCCCGGCUGCAGAGAGCCGCCUUGCCCCAGGUCCUACCCCACCGUUUUGGCCUCGAUCCACCGACUGCUUGGUGUGGGGGGUUGUAGAGUCUCGGCCUCCUUGCCCUAAUUAGGGGCGACCCCGGAGUUUUGGCCGCUCUUCAAAAUUCUUUGCGAGGUCUGCGAGGUCUCUUCUGACACUGCAGUCCAGCCGGGCUCAUCCUUCCGGCCCUUCCUGCUCCUUCCCUGUCCUUGCCCGGGUUCCCCCCGGAUCCCAAGAGCACCCCCUCAUGAGCCCGCUUAUACUAAACUCCAUCUCAGACUUGGUGUCCUGAGAACCCCAUGCACAAGGAUGUCCCGACGCUGGGCGCACGCGGGAGAGCGGUACCAACUGCAUAAAAACAGUUGUUUGUGGUAAAUGAAUGAACUUGAACUGCUGUGGUCCUCCCACCCCCUCCAGGUGCCUGCCCUUAGCAUCCCAGGCCAGUCACCCUUGUCUGCCUCCCUUUCUUUCCUUCCUUCCGUCCUUCCUCCCUCCCUUCCUUCCUUCCUUCCUAGUAACGAUCUCCUAAGCCAACAGGUGGCACACUUUUUCUGUAAAGGCCGAACUAUUUGGGCUUCAUGAGCCAUGAAAGUCUCUGUCACAACCACUCAGUUCUACCAUCGUGAGCAGCCACAGACAAUACAUAAAUGAAUGAGUGUGGCUGUGUUUAUUCCAAUAAAAUGUUAAUGACGAGGCA